GUGACCCUACUUAGCAACUUAUAUGUUUUUAAGAUAGUUUCAUACUAGUUGGAGGAUAAAAAGAGUUUACCUCCAAAAGCAAUCGCAGCUGAUGCACAUCAUCUCCUCCAGGAAAUAAUGGCUUCCGAUCCAUCAGUUCCAUAAAAAUGCAACCCACUGACCAUACAUCAACCGCUGCACUAUAAUUGAAGAGUUCAGCAACAGUUUCAGGUCACAAUUAGCAUUCAAGAGAAGGUUGCUAGGCUUCAAGUCCCUGUGAAGAACAUUUGCAGAGUGUAUAUACUUCAGCCCACGUAAAAUUUGAUAGAGGAAAUACGGAAGAAACACAAAAUAUCCAGCAUAAACUAAGGUCACUGUUCCUCAGAACCAGGCAGAGUAUACACAACUUCAUAAAAAGCAACCAAAUGUCUACAUUCGAACCUGACAAUGCUCUUCUGAUAAAGCUUGGCUAGAAUGGAUUACCUGAUGCAGGUCAAUGUCCAUCAGCUCAUAAGCAAUAUAAACAUCAUUAAAGCAUUCUAUCCUGGGUGGUGGGAUUAUAUCCCUGAUCGCAAUUACCUGUAAUGAAAGAUGCAAAUGAGACUAACUCAGAAUGAUAACAAAAGAGAUAUUGCUCUCUCUACAUGUGUCUCUCUCAAGGUUUUUGUGUAUCCAUCACUAGAGAAAAAAGAAUCAGGACAAAGAAAGGACAAGUUAUAAUCAAAUACUGAUCCUAACAGCGCUUUAGUAGUGGAGGAGAGGAAGAAGAUGAUACUAGGAGGGCUUAGAGAGGGAGAGUGUUGGUGUGUGUUUAUCCACACGUUUUCAUGGUCCAUUUGAAGAAGCAUCUUGAUCUCACGAAGAAUUCUCUUUGCAUAAAUUAGGUUAUCAAAUGCAUUCGCUAGCUUCUUCAAUGCCACUUCUUCAUUUGUCUCGGAAUUCAACACAGAACCAGAAGAAGAGUUUACCAUACAAUGCCAUAGCCCUCCAUACCAAUGGGUUCAAGAGGAGGUUUAUACUUAGCAGUGACCUCAAAUAUGUUACCGUAUAUAUCAAACCCAAGAAACCUAUUACCGUGUCUAAGAAUUACCGCAGAAUUCUCCAACCCAACAGCUAUUUGCUGUGGCGGUUGCUGGUGAUGUUGUCGGUUGAGUUUGAGGCUUUUAUUUUUGGGUAAAGAAUAUCCAAAGUCACUAAAACUAUUAACAAA
Molecule: long non-coding RNA, 1189 nt
Organism: Gossypium arboreum
Lineage: Eukaryota; Viridiplantae; Streptophyta; Magnoliopsida; Malvales; Malvaceae
Exons: 2
Source: RefSeq, a predicted model, not a curated record